CGUGGGGAACCUGCCCCAUAGUCUGGGAUACCACUUGGAAACAGGUGCUAAUACCGGAUAAGAAAGCAGAUCGCAUGAUCAGCUUUUAAAAGGCGGCGUAAGCUGUCGCUAUGGGAUGGCCCCGCGGUGCAUUAGCUAGUUGGUAAGGUAAAGGCUUACCAAGGCGAUGAUGCAUAGCCGAGUUGAGAGACUGAUAGGCCACAUUGGGACUGAGACACGGCCCAAACUCCUACGGGAGGCAGCAGAC
This 247-nucleotide ribosomal RNA is filed under the name uncultured Lactobacillus sp. Its description in RNAcentral is "partial 16S ribosomal RNA". It matches the Rfam family "Bacterial small subunit ribosomal RNA", at positions 116 to 354 of the family's 1533-position model. The record is from RNAcentral. Lineage: Bacteria; Bacillati; Bacillota; Bacilli; Lactobacillales; Lactobacillaceae.